Canis lupus familiaris (dog) is the source of this 1093-nucleotide long non-coding RNA. RefSeq lists it as uncharacterized. Lineage: Eukaryota; Metazoa; Chordata; Mammalia; Carnivora; Canidae. The transcript is spliced from 3 exons. The record is from RefSeq and is a predicted model, not a curated record.
CUACGAUCAAGUUAAAAAGUACCAACUGUAGAGCUCAGGGGUGAGGACAAUUAAAGUUUUCUACCUUCAGGAUAAUCACUAGAAAAAAAAGGAUAAUCACUAGAAGCAGAACAGGAUAAGCAUUAGUGUGAUGGAAUAGAUGCUCUUUAUUAGCUGAUGCAUUGCUUUUAAUGUAGAAAGACCUUUGAUUUUCUAGCUUUUGGUACCCUUGUAUUUUAAUUAAAGAACCAAAGCACAGCAAAGUUCAGAGAAAUAGGAAGUACUAAUCAACAGACUAAAGAUGUGGUUAGAAAGAAAGCAUAUACAGAGAUGAGAAUGAUGCCUGAGCCUUUGGCAGACUGUAAGGAAUAGUUAGUUAAGCAGGGCAGUUUUUCACAGUUGGAUAUAGAGUAACAUCUCUGGAAUGAAGAGACACACAAGAGCAUAAGUGCUAUUUAUCACCUCUGCUUAAAAUUACGACUCAGUGAGCAGCUGUGUUGGCUGUUGUGCUGCCUGGAUUCCCUCCUUGGGACCAAGACACUCCUUCUCCAGCUGGUGAAUCCCUCUCUAGGUGAGUGAUAUGCAGUAGGAUACUUUCUUGUGAAGCUGAAUGGCAACAGCUCCCAGGCAGCUGUGCCAUCAUGAAGGUGAACAACUGAUACAUCUAACAAUUCUGCACCCAUACAACCAUUCUAUUUUUCACAUUCAGUACAGUAUUUAAUGCAUCACAUGAGAUACUCAUCACUUUAUCAUAUCAGCUUUGUGUUAUAUAUUUUGCCCAACUGUAAACUAAUGCAAGUGUUCUGAACAUGUUUAAGGUUGAAAGCCUAGGGAAAACAUACAAACCAUUUCAUUCUAUAGGAUUGGCUGAGUGAAGAAGAGAAGAAGAAAAAGGGAAAGAGAAAGAAAGAAGAAAGAAAGAAAGAAAGAAAGAAAGAAAGAAAGAAAGAAAGAAAGAAAGAAAGAAGAAAGCAAACUAAGUGUUUUCAUUUACUAUCAUUAAGUACUACUUUUUUAAUUUUUAAAAUCUUUGGAGGUUCAUUUAAAAAAAUAGUAUGAUCUCUCCACAGGAUAGUAAAGCUAAAAUAAAAUAAUUGUCUGUGAAUUGUAUUAU